AGUAACGGCGAGUGAAGCGGGAUGAGCUCAAAUUUGUAAUCUGGUGGACUCAGUUCAUCCGAAUUGUAAUCUAUAGAAAAGUUUUCCGCGCUGGACCGUGUCUAAGUCCCUUGGAACAGGGUGUCAGAGAGGGUGAGAAUCCCGUGCUUGAUACGACCACCAGUGCUAUGUGAUACUUUUUCAACGAGUCGAGUUGUUUGGGAAUGCAGCUCAAAAUGGGUGGUAAAUUCCAUCUAAAGCUAAAUAUUGGCGAGAGACCGAUAGCGAACAAGUACCGUGAGGGAAAGAUGAAAAGCACUUUGGAAAGAGAGUUAAACAGUACGUGAAAUUGUUAAAAGGGAAACGAUUGAAGUCAGUCGUGCUCUCUAGGACUCAGCCAGUUCUUCUGGUGUAUUUCCUAGUGAGCGGGUCAACAUCAGUUUAGAUCGCUGGAUAAGGUCAUUAGGAAUGUGGCUCCCUCGGGAGUGUUAUAGCCUAGUGUCGCAUACAGUGGUUUAGACUGAG
Molecule: ribosomal RNA, 504 nt
Filed under: Holtermanniella sp. 1.1.2-Y2
Lineage: Eukaryota; Fungi; Basidiomycota; Tremellomycetes; Holtermanniales
Description: LSU rRNA
Rfam family: Eukaryotic large subunit ribosomal RNA
Source: RNAcentral